Molecule: ribosomal RNA, 433 nt
Filed under: uncultured bacterium
Lineage: Bacteria
Description: partial 16S ribosomal RNA
Rfam family: Bacterial small subunit ribosomal RNA
Source: RNAcentral
AACGAACGCUGGCGGCAUGCCUAACACAUGCAAGUCGAACGAGACCUUCGGGUCUAGUGGCGCACGGGUGCGUAACGCGUGGGAACCUGCCCUUAGGUUCGGAAUAACUCCCCGAAAGGGGUGCUAAUACCGGGUAAUGUCUUCGGACCAAAGAUUUAUCGCCUUUGGAUGGGCCCGCGUUGGGUUAGCUAGUUGGUAGGGUAAAAGCCUACCAAGGCGACGAUCCAUAGCUGGUCUGAGAGGAUGAUCAGCCACACUGGGACUGAGACACGGCCCAGACUCCUACGGGAAGCAGCAGUGGGGAAUAUUGGACAAUGGGCGAGAGCCUGAUCCAGCAAGGCCGCGUGAGUGAUGAAGGCCUUAGGGUUGUAAAGCUCUUUUACCCGGGAUGAUAAUGACAGUACCGGGAGAAUAAGCACCGGCUAACUCCGUG